AGCUGGCUGGUUCCAUGAGGUGACUUCUGCCCAGUGCUCUGAUUGUCAAUGCGAAGAGAUUCAGCCAAGCGCGGGUAAACGGCGGGAGUAACUAUGACUCUCUUAAGGUAGCCAAAUGCCUCGUCAACCAAUUAUUGACGCGCAUGAAUGGAUCAACGAGAUUCCUGCUGUCCCUAGUUGCUGUCUGGUGAACCAACAGCCAAGGGAACGGGCUUGGAUGUGUCAGCGGGGAAAGAAGACCCUGUUGAGUUUGACUCUAGUUUGAUGCUGUGCAACGACAUGUUGGGUGUAGCAUAGGUGGGAGGCAAGUGCCAUUGGCCACAGAGUUGGAGUGACCCAGUGCCUUGGUGCAAGCCAGCAGUGAAAUACCACUACCUUCACCGUCGUAGUGCUCAUUGAGUGACCUGGGACCGGCAGCCCUUAGACAUCAGCCUUUCCCUUGCGGAAGGGCUGUGGCCCAUCCCCGCUUCGUGCGCAAAGUGUGGCACUCUGUGCCAUGCAACCCUGGAUACUGCAGUCCAAUCAGAAGCCUCAAGACACUGAUCAGUUGGGGAGUUUGGCUGGGGCGGCACGCCUGUUACACCACAACGCAGGCGUCCUGAAGCAAUGCUCAGAUGGAACAGAAAUCUCCCAUAGAGGAGCAGGCCAAAGGUGCUGCUGAUGCUGCUGCUCUCAGUGUGAGCACAAAACGUGCAAGCGUGGCCUUGCGAUCCUUUGGUUAAGUGCACGAGUUCAGGAUACUGAAGCCAGAGGUGUCAGAAAAAUUACCACAGGGAUAACUGGCUUGUGGCAGCCAAGCGUUCAAAGCGACGUUGCUUUUUGAUCCUUCGAUGUCGGCUCUUCCUAGCUUCCCACUCGCAGCCGGGUGGAAGAGUUGGAUUGUUCACCCACCAACAGGGAACGUGAGCUGG
RNAcentral lists this ribosomal RNA (911 nucleotides) under Strombomonas balvayi. RNAcentral's name for it is "LSU rRNA". It matches the Rfam family "Eukaryotic large subunit ribosomal RNA", at positions 2172 to 2960 of the family's 3401-position model. The record is from RNAcentral. Lineage: Eukaryota; Euglenozoa; Euglenophyceae; Euglenales; Euglenaceae.